UACGUAGGCAGCAAGCGUUGUUCGGAGUUACUGGGCGUAAAGGGUGUGUAGGCGGUUGUUUAAGUUUGGUGUGAAAUCUCCCGGCUCAACUGGGAGGGUGCGCCGAAUACUGAAUGACUAGAGUGCGGGAGAGGAAAGUGGAAUUCCGGGUGUAGCGGUGAAAUGCGUAGAUAUCCGGAGGAACACCAGUGGCGAAGGCGGCUUCCUGGACCGACACUGACGCUGAGGCGCGAAAGCUAGGGGAGCAAACGGG
Molecule: ribosomal RNA, 253 nt
Filed under: uncultured bacterium
Lineage: Bacteria
Description: partial 16S ribosomal RNA
Rfam family: Bacterial small subunit ribosomal RNA
Source: RNAcentral